This is a non-coding RNA of Caenorhabditis elegans, 21 nucleotides long. The record is from Ensembl. NCBI's taxonomy places the organism in Eukaryota, Metazoa, Nematoda, Chromadorea, Rhabditida, Rhabditidae.
AUAAACGAACAAUGGUUGAAC